GAUGAACGCUGGCUACAGGCUUAACACAUGCAAGUCGUGGGGAAACGGCAUUAUGUGCUUGCACAUUCUGGACGUCGACCGGCGCACGGGUGAGUAUCGCGUAUCCAACCUGCCCCUUACUUGGGGAUACCCCGUUGAAAGACGGCCUAAUACACGAUGUGUUUCAUUGACGGCAUCCGAUAUGAAACAAAGGUUUUUCCGGUAAGGGAUGGGGAUGCGUCUGAUUAGCUUGUUGGCGGGGCAACGGCCCACCAAGGCGACGAUCAGUAGGGGUUCUGAGAGGAAGGUCCCCCACAUUGGAACUGAGACACGGUCCAAACUCCUACGGGAGGCAGCAGUGAGGAAUAUUGGUCAAUGGACGCAAGUCUGAACCAGCCAAGUAGCGUGCAGGAUGACGGCCCUAUGGGUUGUAAACUGCUUUUAUGUGGGAAUAAAUUGGCGCACGUGUGCGCCAUUGCAUGUACCUCAUGAAUAAGGACCGGCUAAUUCCGUGCCAGCAGCCGCGGUAAUACGGAAGGUCCGGGCGUUAUCCGGAUUUAUUGGGUUUAAAGGGAGUGUAGGCGGUCUGUUAAGCGUGUUGUGAAAUUUAGGUGCUCAACAUUUAACUUGCAGCGCGAACUGUCAGACUUGAGUACACGCAGCGCAGGCGGAAUUCAUGGUGUAGCGGUGAAAUGCUUAGAUAUCAUGAGGAACUCCGAUCGCGAAGGCAGCCUGCGGGAGUGUUACUGACGCUUAAGCUCGAAGGUGCGGGUAUCGAACAGG
RNAcentral lists this ribosomal RNA (762 nucleotides) under Prevotella nigrescens. RNAcentral describes it as "bacterial SSU rRNA". It matches the Rfam family "Bacterial small subunit ribosomal RNA", at positions 28 to 776 of the family's 1533-position model. The record is from RNAcentral. Lineage: Bacteria; Pseudomonadati; Bacteroidota; Bacteroidia; Bacteroidales; Prevotellaceae.